Molecule: ribosomal RNA, 387 nt
Filed under: uncultured Bacteroidota bacterium
Lineage: Bacteria; Pseudomonadati; Bacteroidota
Description: bacterial SSU rRNA
Rfam family: Bacterial small subunit ribosomal RNA
Source: RNAcentral
UCCGUAGGUGGACAAAUAAGUCAGAGGUGAAAUCCUGCAGCUCAACUGUAGAACUGCCUUUGAUACUGUUUGUCUUGAGUUAUUAUGAAGUGGUUAGAAUGUGUAGCGUAGCGGUGAAAUGCAUAGAUAUUACACAGAAUACCGAUUGCGAAGGCAGAUCACUAAUAAUCAACUGACACUGAUGGACGAAAGCGUGGGUAGCGAACAGGAUUAGAUACCCUGGUAGUCCACGCCGUAAACGAUGGUCACUAGCUGUUUGGACUUCGGUCUGAGUGGCUAAGCGAAAGUGAUAAGUGACCCACCUGGGGAGUACGUUCGCAAGAAUGAAACUCAAAGGAAUUGACGGGGGCCCGCACAAGCGGUGGAGCAUGUGGUUUAAUUCGAUGA